Sphingomonas sp. SKA58 is the source of this 98-nucleotide non-coding RNA. It matches the Rfam family "Bacterial small signal recognition particle RNA". Rfam says of the family: The signal recognition particle (SRP) is a universally conserved ribonucleoprotein involved in the co-translational targeting of proteins to membranes. Archaeal SRP consists of a 7S RNA and homologues of the eukaryotic SRP19 and SRP54 proteins. In most bacteria, the SRP consists of a 4.5S RNA and the Ffh protein (a homologue of the eukaryotic SRP54 protein). NCBI's taxonomy places the organism in Bacteria, Pseudomonadati, Pseudomonadota, Alphaproteobacteria, Sphingomonadales, Sphingomonadaceae. The record is from Rfam.
AUCGGGAGUCGGGCGGACGAGGCCGUCGCGAACCUGGUCAGGUCCUGACGGAAGCAGCCACAGUGAUUCCGCCGCGGGUCGUCCCGGCUCCCACCCUC